This 466-nucleotide ribosomal RNA is filed under the name uncultured bacterium. RNAcentral's name for it is "bacterial SSU rRNA". It matches the Rfam family "Bacterial small subunit ribosomal RNA", at positions 30 to 504 of the family's 1533-position model. The record is from RNAcentral.
CGAACGCUGGCGGCGCGCCUAAUGCAUGCAAGUCGAACGAGAACUAGUUCAAUCGUAAGAUUGAACUAGGGACAGUGGCGAACGGGUGCGUAACACGUGAGAAACCUGCCCUGGAGAUCGGGAUAGCCCGAGGAAACUCGGAUUAAUACCGGAUAUGCUCACAGGACCACAUGGUCCGGUGAGGAAAUAGUCCGCUGCUCCAGGAUGGUCUCGCGGCCUAUCAGCUUGUUGGUGAGGUAAUGGCUCACCAAGGCUCCGACGGGUAGCUGGUCUGAGAGGACGAUCAGCCACACUGGGACUGAGACACGGCCCAGACUCCUACGGGAGGCAGCAGCAGGGAAUAUUGCACAAUGGGCGAAAGCCUGAUGCAGCGACGCCGCGUGCGGGAUGAAGGCCUUCGGGUUGUAAACCGCUUUCAGGAGGGACGAAAAUGACGGUACCUCCAGAAGAAGGCCCGGCCAACUAC